This is a non-coding RNA of Megalops atlanticus (tarpon), 79 nucleotides long. Lineage: Eukaryota; Metazoa; Chordata; Actinopteri; Elopiformes; Megalopidae. The record is from the annotation of a GenBank genome assembly.
GGUAGUGUAGCAUAGUGGUUAAGGAGCAGGACUUGUAAUCGUAAGGUUGCCGGUUCGAUUCCCCACGGGGGCACUGCUG